GUUUGAUCCUGGCUCAGAUUAAACGCUGGCGGCAUGCCUUACACAUGCAAGUCGAACGGCAGCACGGGGGCAACCCUGGUGGCGAGUGGCGGACGGGUGAGUAAAGCAUCGGAACGUAUCCUGGAGUGGGGGAUAACGUAGCGAAAGUUACGCUAAUACCGCAUAUUCUGUGAGCAGGAAAGCAGGGGAUCGCAAGACCUUGCGCUCUGGGGAGCGGCCGAUGUCGGAUUAGCUAGUUGGUGGGGUAAAGGCCUACCAAGGCGACGAUCCGUAGCGGGUCUGAGAGGAUGAUCCGCCACACUGGGACUGAGACACGGCCCAGACUCCUACGGGAGGCAGCAGUGGGGAAUUUUUGGACAAUGGGCGGAAGCCUGAUCCAGCCAUGCCGCGUGAGUGAAGAAGGCCUCGGUUGUAA
Molecule: ribosomal RNA, 415 nt
Filed under: uncultured bacterium
Lineage: Bacteria
Description: bacterial SSU rRNA
Rfam family: Bacterial small subunit ribosomal RNA
Source: RNAcentral